AACGAACGCUGGCGGCAUGCCUAACACAUGCAAGUCGAACGAGACCUUCGGGUCUAGUGGCGCACGGGUGCGUAACGCGUGGGAAUCUGCCCUUGGGUUCGGAAUAACAGUUAGAAAUGACUGCUAAUACCGGAUGAUGUCUUCGGACCAAAGAUUUAUCGCCCAGGGAUGAGCCCGCGUAGGAUUAGCUAGUUGGUGGGGUAAAGGCCUACCAAGGCGACGAUCCUUAGCUGGUCUGAGAGGAUGAUCAGCCACACUGGGACUGAGACACGGCCCAGACUCCUACGGGAGGCAGCAGUGGGGAAUAUUGGACAAUGGGCGAAAGCCUGAUCCAGCAAUGCCGCGUGAGUGAUGAAGGCCUUAGGGUUGUAAAGCUCUUUUACCCGGGAUGAUAAUGACAGUACCGGGAGAAUAAGCCCCCGGCUAACUCCGUGCCAGCAGCCGCGGUAAU
RNAcentral lists this ribosomal RNA (451 nucleotides) under uncultured bacterium. RNAcentral describes it as "bacterial SSU rRNA". It matches the Rfam family "Bacterial small subunit ribosomal RNA", at positions 29 to 524 of the family's 1533-position model. The record is from RNAcentral.